AGACAGGUGGUGCAUGGUUGUCGUCAGCUCGUGUCGUGAGAUGUUGGGUUAAGUCCCGCAACGAGCGCAACCCCUGCCCUGUGUUGCCAGCACUUCGGGUGGGCACUCACAGGGGACUGCCGGUGACAAACCGGAGGAAGGUGGGGAUGACGUCAAAUCAUCAUGCCCCUUAUGUCCUGGGCUACACACGUGCUACAAUGGCCGGUACAGAGGG
This 214-nucleotide ribosomal RNA is filed under the name uncultured bacterium. RNAcentral's name for it is "partial 16S ribosomal RNA". It matches the Rfam family "Bacterial small subunit ribosomal RNA", at positions 1032 to 1246 of the family's 1533-position model. The record is from RNAcentral.